Molecule: ribosomal RNA, 460 nt
Filed under: uncultured bacterium
Lineage: Bacteria
Description: partial 16S ribosomal RNA
Rfam family: Bacterial small subunit ribosomal RNA
Source: RNAcentral
CCUACGGGAGGCAGCAGUGAGGAAUAUUGGUCAAUGGGCGGAAGCCUGAACCAGCCAAGUCGCGUGAGGGAUUAAGGCCCUGCGGGUCGUAAACCUCUUUUGCCGGGGAGCAGAGGUCCGGACGUGUCCGUGCCGGGAGAGUACCCGGAGACAAAGCAUCGGCUAACUCCGUGCCAGCAGCCGCGGUAAUACGGAGGAUGCGAGCGUUAUCCGGAUUUGUUGGGUUUAAAGGGUGCGUAGGCGGGCAUUUAAGCCGGCGGUCAAAUGUCGGGGCUCAACCCCGGCCUGCCGUCGGAACUGGGGGCCUUGAGUGGGCGAGAAGUAGGCGGAAUGCGUGGUGUAGCGGUGAAAUGCAUAGAUAUCACGCAGAACCCCGAUUGCGAAGGCAGCAUACCGGCGCCCGACUGACGCUGAGGCACGAAAGUGCGGGUAUCGAACAGGAUUAGAUACCCCGGUAGUC